This 406-nucleotide ribosomal RNA is filed under the name uncultured bacterium. RNAcentral describes it as "partial 16S ribosomal RNA". It matches the Rfam family "Bacterial small subunit ribosomal RNA", at positions 30 to 526 of the family's 1533-position model. The record is from RNAcentral.
AUUGAACGCUGGCGGCAGGCCUAACACAUGCAAGUCGAACGAGUGGCGGACGGGUGAGUAAUGUCUGGGAAACUGCCUGAUGGAGGGGGCUAACUACUGGAAACGGUAGCUAAUACCGCAUACCAUCAGAUGUGCCCCGAUGGGAUUAGCUAGUUGGUGGGGUAAUGGCACACCAAGGCGACGAUCCCUAGCUGGUCUGAGAGGCUGACCAGCCACACUGGAACUGAGACACGGUCCGGACUCCUACGGGAGGCAGCAGUGGGGAAUAUUGCACAAUGGGCGCAAGCCUGAUGCAGCCAUGCCGCGUGUAUGAAGAAGGCCUUCGGGUUGUAAAGUACUUUCAGCGGGGAAGCGUUACCCGCAGAAGAAGCACCGGCUAACUACGUGCCAGCAGCCGCGGUAAUAC